This is a long non-coding RNA of Mus musculus (house mouse), 945 nucleotides long. RefSeq annotates it as predicted gene 12925. The record is from RefSeq and is marked validated. NCBI's taxonomy places the organism in Eukaryota, Metazoa, Chordata, Mammalia, Rodentia, Muridae. The transcript is spliced from 4 exons.
AUGGUAGCUCACACCUGUAAUCCUAGCCCUCAGGAGGGAGAGCAGGAGAUUUGCUACAAGUUCUAGGUCUGUCUGGGCCUCGCAAUGAGACUGUUUCAAACAAAAUGAUACUUUUAGCCCACUUUUGGCCCAUCCAACCGUAGUUGACUUUUCCAGGGAACAGGGAAGUGGUUGUGGUAAUAACUAGUAAAUAUCACAGUAAAGGCACAUGAGCAGGUGGCAUUGAGCAACCAAAAUCGACACUUGGAAUUCCAUCUCAGCUCUCAUUCUUAAGCAGUAGGAGCCUCUUACCCUAGAGCAAGAAUUAUAGCUUUGUACCGUUUGAGUAAUGUCAAGUAUUUGGUCAGUCAUUGCUCAGUACAUUAAUUACGUGAAAUGAUGCUUUUCACUAAUAGAUGCAAUCAUCGCUUUCCACAUCACAAAGCAGAAUCUAAGUUGAUUGCCAAACCAUACAAUCCAGAAGCUCUGAGGCUCUCCUGGGCCUGCUGUUGAAUUUCUAAGGAGUUUGCCUUGGAAGAAUCAGACAGCAGGAUGGACUUGGGAGGACACCUAGUGGCAGAGCAGUGGCUUCCCUGGAACUCUCAAUGUAGACCAGGCUGGCCUGGAACUAACAGAGAUCACCUGCCUCUGACUCCUGGAUACUGGUAUUAAAGAGAACAAGAGGAAGGACCCUCAACAAGAAGCUGUCCCAAAGAAGUGUGGAAUGCCUCAGCCACCCAGGCCUGUCUUCACAGAGUGCAUAGAAAGGAUGUGAAGACACUCGUGAACCAUGAAGUGCUACACACAUGUUUCUGGUCAUUAUCUUACUAAGCACUGUAAAGGCAGUAGUUGCCUUAGGCAGAGCUAGAAUCCUUCCCAGUUUGGCCCCUUGCUGGCUGAGAGACCUCAGGCGAGGUCCUGAACUCUCCAGGUGUCUGUCUGUUUACUAUAGAACAUCAGCUUCUU